AAGUCGUAACAAGGUAACCGUAGGUGAACCUGCGGUUGGAUCAUUACUGAUUACAACUUGGCCUGGGGUUGAGCUCUAACGAGUUCCUCCAGUGUCAUACACACUUUGUGGACUUUUGUGUAUUUGGGUUGUUUUUCUCUUGGAAUCUUAUUGGGGUAACCCAGUUGGUACUGAGAGAGGCAGCCCAGCAAAUUUAACAAACCUUUAUUCUUUUGACUGAAAUCUCUAUGUAAAUAGAAACAACUUUUGACAACGGAUCUCUUGGCUCUCGCAACGAUGAAGAACGCAGCGAAAUGCGAUACGUAAUGUGAAUUGCUUUCCGUGAAUCAUCGAAUCUUUGAACGCACAUUGCACUCUAUUCUGUAGAGUAUGCCUGUUUGAGAAUCUAUAGUAUUUCUUUUAGGAAUUUUUUUAAAAUGCCUAAAGAUCUGAGGCCUUCUCUCCUUCAGGAGAGUGCCUUGAAAUAGAUUAUCUGUACCUCGAGAAGAUGUCUGACGUCUCUUAACAACAGAACAGUAUUUGAAUGGUUUUCAACCUCAAUGCCUACUAAGUUGCUAGGGAAAUAGUCGAUCGAGCUAUAGGUCCAUAAACUAUAGUGCUCCUUCCUCUUGAGGAAAGAGCUCUGAACCUUGGUCUCAAAUCAGGUAGGAAGACCCGCUGAACUUAA
Molecule: ribosomal RNA, 667 nt
Filed under: uncultured fungus
Lineage: Eukaryota; Fungi
Description: eukaryotic LSU rRNA
Rfam family: 5.8S ribosomal RNA (bases 242-387)
Source: RNAcentral